CGGGGCGUGGCGCAGUCUGGUAGCGCAUCUGCUUUGGGAGCAGAGGGUCGCUGGUUCGAAUCCAGUCGCCCCGA
Molecule: transfer RNA, 74 nt
Filed under: Siccirubricoccus deserti
Lineage: Bacteria; Pseudomonadati; Pseudomonadota; Alphaproteobacteria; Acetobacterales; Roseomonadaceae
Also listed under: 3 other names
Rfam family: tRNA
About the family: Transfer RNA (tRNA) molecules are approximately 80 nucleotides in length. Their secondary structure includes four short double-helical elements and three loops (D, anti-codon, and T loops).
Source: Rfam by way of RNAcentral